Molecule: small RNA, 127 nt
Filed under: Marmota monax (woodchuck)
Lineage: Eukaryota; Metazoa; Chordata; Mammalia; Rodentia; Sciuridae
Source: RNAcentral
GCCGGGCACGGUGGCGCACACCUGUAAUCCCAGCAGUUUGGGAGGCUGAGAGACAGGAGGAUUGCGAGUUCAAAGCCAGCCUCAGCAACUGCAAGGUGCUAAGCAGCUCAGUGAGACCCUGUCUCUA